UACGGAGGAUCCAAGCGUUAUCCGGAAUCAUUGGGUUUAAAGGGUCCGUAGGCGGUUUAAUAAGUCAGUGGUGAAAGCCCAUCGCUCAACGGUGGAACGGCCAUUGAUACUGUUAGACUUGAAUUAUUAGGAAGUAACUAGAAUAUGUAGUGUAGCGGUGAAAUGCUUAGAGAUUACAUGGAAUACCAAUUGCGAAGGCAGGUUACUACUAAUGGAUUGACGCUGAUGGACGAAAGCGUGGGGUAGCGAACAGG
RNAcentral lists this ribosomal RNA (254 nucleotides) under uncultured bacterium. Its description in RNAcentral is "partial 16S ribosomal RNA". It matches the Rfam family "Bacterial small subunit ribosomal RNA", at positions 524 to 776 of the family's 1533-position model. The record is from RNAcentral.